RNAcentral lists this ribosomal RNA (107 nucleotides) under Acanthosepion pharaonis. The record is from RNAcentral. Lineage: Eukaryota; Metazoa; Mollusca; Cephalopoda; Sepiida; Sepiidae.
ACGGAUAUAUCACGUUGAAACACCGGUUCUUGUAAGAUCACCAAAGUUAAGCAACGUCGAGCCUGGUCAGUGCCUAGAUGGGUGAUCGCUUGGGAAUACCAGCUGCU